Molecule: ribosomal RNA, 479 nt
Filed under: uncultured bacterium
Lineage: Bacteria
Description: partial 16S ribosomal RNA
Rfam family: Bacterial small subunit ribosomal RNA
Source: RNAcentral
AUGAACGCUGGCGGCGUGCUUAACACAUGCAAGUCGAACGGAACUACUCCAAUGAGAGUCUUCGGAAAGGAUUUGGUUUAGUUUAGUGGCGGACGGGUGAGUAACGCGUGGGUAACCUGCCCUAUACAGGGGGAUAACAGUUGGAAACGACUGUUAAUACCGCAUAAGCGCACAGGAGCGCAUGCUCCGGUGUGAAAAACUCCGGUGGUAUAGGAUGGACUCGCGUCUGAUUAGCUGGUUGGCGGGGUAACGGCCCACCAAGGCGACGAUCAGUAGCCGGCCUGAGAGGGUGAACGGCCACAUUGGGACUGAGACACGGCCCAAACUCCUACGGGAGGCAGCAGUGGGGAAUAUUGCACAAUGGGGGAAACCCUGAUGCAGCGACGCCGCGUGAGCGAAGAAGUAUCUCGGUAUGUAAAGCUCUAUCAGCAGGGAAGAAAAUGACGGUACCUGACUAAGAAGCCCCGGCUAACUACGUG